UGUUCUAUAAUGCCCUAGUAUCUUCUAGGGACAAACCUUUGUCCCUAGAAGAUACUAGGGCAUUAUAGA
This 69-nucleotide microRNA precursor is filed under the name Paramuricea clavata. Lineage: Eukaryota; Metazoa; Cnidaria; Anthozoa; Malacalcyonacea; Plexauridae. The record is from RNAcentral.